Non-coding RNA from Abortiporus biennis, 111 nucleotides. The record is from the annotation of a GenBank genome assembly. Lineage: Eukaryota; Fungi; Basidiomycota; Agaricomycetes; Polyporales; Podoscyphaceae.
GCUGAUAUGGCCGAGUCGUUAAGGCGAGUGAUUCGAAUUCCUGGAUUUGUUCCAAAUUAUUCGAUUAUCACUUGGGCAUUGCCCGCGUAGGUUCAAAUCCUACUGUCAGCG